UACGUAGGGUGCGAGUGUUGUCCGGAAUUAUUGGGCGUAAAGAGCUCGUAGGCGGUCUGUCGCGUCGAUCGUGAAAACUUGGGGCUUAACCCUGAGCUUGCGGUCGAUACGGGCAUGACUGGAGUUCGGCAGGGGAGACUGGAAUUCCUGGUGUAGCGGUGAAAUGCGCAGAUAUCAGGAGGAACACCGGUGGCGAAGGCGGGUCUCUGGGCCGAUACUGACGCUGAGGAGCGAAAGCGUGGGGAGCGAACAGG
RNAcentral lists this ribosomal RNA (254 nucleotides) under uncultured bacterium. RNAcentral's name for it is "partial 16S ribosomal RNA". It matches the Rfam family "Bacterial small subunit ribosomal RNA", at positions 524 to 776 of the family's 1533-position model. The record is from RNAcentral.